RNAcentral lists this ribosomal RNA (489 nucleotides) under uncultured bacterium. RNAcentral's name for it is "partial 16S ribosomal RNA". It matches the Rfam family "Bacterial small subunit ribosomal RNA", at positions 30 to 507 of the family's 1533-position model. The record is from RNAcentral.
UUGAACGCUGGCGGCAUGCCUUACACAUGCAAGUCGCACGGCAGCAUGAUCUAGCUUGCUAGAUUGAUGGCGAGUGGCGAACGGGUGAGUAAUACAUCGGAACGUGCCCUGUAGUGGGGGAUAACUAGUCGAAAGAUUAGCUAAUACCGCAUACGACCUGAGGGUGAAAGUGGGGGACCGCAAGGCCUCAUGCUAUAGGAGCGGCCGAUGUCUGAUUAGCUAGUUGGUGAGGUAAAGGCUCACCAAGGCGACGAUCAGUAGCUGGUCUGAGAGGACGAUCAGCCACACUGGGACUGAGACACGGCCCAGACUCCUACGGGAGGCAGCAGUGGGGAAUUUUGGACAAUGGGCGAAAGCCUGAUCCAGCAAUGCCGCGUGUGUGAAGAAGGCCUUCGGGUUGUAAAGCACUUUUGUCCGGAAAGAAAUGGCUCUGGUUAAUACCUGGGGUCGAUGACGGUACCGGAAGAAUAAGGACCGGCUAACUACGUG